RNAcentral lists this long non-coding RNA (315 nucleotides) under Brassica napus (rape). RNAcentral describes it as "long non-coding RNA (BNAP_LNC010266)". Lineage: Eukaryota; Viridiplantae; Streptophyta; Magnoliopsida; Brassicales; Brassicaceae. The record is from RNAcentral.
UGCAGUGCCUCCCCCGGGCCAGGAUCCUCACCAGCAGUCGCAUCAGACUACAACUUCAGAAAGUUUUGCUUCGACAGAGCAGACUACUAAUGUGGGUAAUGGACUUGAUUCAACAGGUACAUCGCAAGGAACACAGACAAUACCACCAUCCGACCUUCAACCAACAGCUAGUGAACCAGAAAAUGCCAACCCUAGAACUCAGCAAGAUACUCUACACCCUGAUCCAACUCACGCCAAUCCUCACCAAUUAAACGCCCAUCCAAUGAAAACACGAUCCAAAAACAACAUUUCCAAGCCUACCAAAAAGCUUACCCU